This is a long non-coding RNA of Sapajus apella (tufted capuchin), 695 nucleotides long. RefSeq lists it as uncharacterized. Lineage: Eukaryota; Metazoa; Chordata; Mammalia; Primates; Cebidae. The record is from RefSeq and is a predicted model, not a curated record. The transcript is spliced from 4 exons.
GCCCUGCCCUGAUCCCUGCCCUCUGGUUUACCAGCAGGCGGCUGGAAGCUGUGGUCCCUGUGGGGCGAAUGCACGCGAGACUGCGGGGGAGGCCUGCAGACGAGGACGCGCACCUGCCUGCCCGCGCAGGGCGUGGAGGGCGGCAGCUGCGAGGGGGUGCUGGAGGAGGGCCGCCAGUGCAACCGCGAAGCCUGCGGCCCCGCUGGGCGCACCAGCUCCCGGAGCCAGUCCCUGAGGUCCACAGAUGCCCGGCGGCGUGAGGAGCUGGGGGACGAGCUGCAGCACUUUGGGUUCCCGGCCCCCCAGACUGGUGACCCAGCAGCUGAGGAGUGGUCCCCAUGGAGCGUGUGCUCCAGCACCUGCGGCGAGGGCUGGCAGACCCGCACGCGCUUCUGCGUGUCCUCCUCCUACAGCACGCAGUGCAGUGGGCCCCUGCGCGAGCAGCGGCUGUGCAACAACUCUGCUGUGUGCCCAGUGCAUGGUGCCUGGGAUGAAUGGUCACCCUGGAGUCUCUGCUCCAGCACCUGUGGCCGUGGCUUUCGGGAUCGCACGCGCACCUGCAGGCCCCCACAGUUUGGGGGCAACCCCUGUGAGGGUCCAGAGAAGCAAACCAAGUUCUGCAACAUCGCCCUAUGCCCUGGUAGGUGAGAGAGAGGGCGCGGGGGCAGGGAGGAAGGGAAGAAAGGGGAAGUCAC